AGAGUUUGAUCAUGGCUCAAAUUGAACGCUGGCGGAAUGCUUUACACAUGCAAGUCGAACGGCAGCACGGGGGCAACCCUGGUGGCGAGUGGCGAACGGGUGAGUAAUACAUCGGAACGUGCCCAGUCGUGGGGGAUAACGUAGCGAAAGCUACGCUAAUACCGCAUACGAUCUCUGGAUGAAAGCGGGGGACCGCAAGGCCUCGCGCGAUUGGAGCGGCCGAUGGCAGAUUAGGUAGUUGGUGGGGUAAAGGCCUACCAAGCCGACGAUCUGUAGCUGGUCUGAGAGGACGACCAGCCACACUGGGACUGAGACACGGCCCAGACUCCUACGGGAGGCAGCAGUGGGGAUUUUUGGAACAAUGGGCGCAAGCCUGAUCCAGCCAUUCCGCGUGCAGGAUGAAGGCCCUCGGGUUGUAACUGCUUUUGUACGGAACGAACCGGCUGGGUUAAUACCCGGGCUAAUGACGGUACCGUAGAUAACCCGGCUACUACGUGCCACACCCCGGUAAUAGUAGGGGCAGCGUUAUCGAU
This 533-nucleotide ribosomal RNA is filed under the name uncultured beta proteobacterium. RNAcentral describes it as "bacterial SSU rRNA". It matches the Rfam family "Bacterial small subunit ribosomal RNA", at positions 8 to 550 of the family's 1533-position model. The record is from RNAcentral. Lineage: Bacteria; Pseudomonadati; Pseudomonadota; Betaproteobacteria.